Molecule: ribosomal RNA, 477 nt
Filed under: uncultured bacterium
Lineage: Bacteria
Description: partial 16S ribosomal RNA
Rfam family: Bacterial small subunit ribosomal RNA
Source: RNAcentral
GAUUAACGCUGGCGGCGUGCAUAACACAUGCAAGUCGAACGAUGAAGAUUAUUAGACUUCUUCGGAAUGAAAAUAAUUGGCUUAGUGGCGGACGGGUGAGUAACUCGUGAGUAACCUGCCUUACACACGGGGAUAGCCGUUGGAAACGACGAAUAAUACCCUAUGAAACUAUCACUUCGCAUGAAGCGAUAGUCAAAGUGUUAGCGGUGUAAGAUGGACUUGCGUCUGAUUAGCUAGUUGGUGAGAAAAAAGCCCACCAAGGCAACGAUCAGUAGCCGGCUUGAGAGAGUGUACGGCAACAUUGGGACUGAGACACGGCCCAGACUCCUACGGGAGGCAGCAGUGGGGAAUUUUGCACAAUGGGGGAAACCCUGAUGCAGCGACGCCGCGUGAUUUAGAAGGCCUUCGGGUUGUAAAAAUCUUUUGUAUAGGAAGAAAAUGACAGUACUAUACGAAUAAGGUCCGGCUAAUUACGUG